Pygocentrus nattereri (red-bellied piranha) is the source of this 56-nucleotide small nuclear RNA. Its record names the gene U7. It matches the Rfam family "U7 small nuclear RNA". From Rfam's summary of the family: Animal histone pre-mRNAs are spliced by a different mechanism than nuclear pre-mRNAs and self-splicing introns. This processing involves the U7 snRNP, which contains only one RNA species: U7. Lineage: Eukaryota; Metazoa; Chordata; Actinopteri; Characiformes; Serrasalmidae. The record is from Ensembl.
GAGAAUUUGUUCUUUUAGAAUUUGUCUAGCAGGUUACUUCAAAAGAAGUAGCCCCC